Long non-coding RNA from Parus major (Great Tit), 9447 nucleotides. RefSeq lists it as uncharacterized. NCBI's taxonomy places the organism in Eukaryota, Metazoa, Chordata, Aves, Passeriformes, Paridae. The transcript has 7 exons. The record is from RefSeq and is a predicted model, not a curated record.
UUAAACUACAUCUCCCAUGACCACCGUGGCCCGCGGGGGCCUCGGCAGCGGCGAUGGCGAGGCUGGCAGGGACCGCCUACGCGGCUGGCACCCCUCGGGCUCUGGGGUGAUGCACGGACUCCUUCCAGAGGGGGCACGGGACGACCCCAGCCCCACAUCACCACCAGGCCCCACCUUCUCCGCGCCCGGCGGCUAAAAAUACACCCCACAGAUUUGCACCAGAGGCACAAGGAGAAUUUGACACACUUGCUGCAAAGAGGUUUUCAUGCCCCGAACGUGAAACCACCAGGACUGGCUGAAGGACACUCUGUGCCCAGGGACUGGGGAGCUGAGACCUGAAAUGGAAUUUCACUAGAGAUCCUACCAACAUUAAAUACUCUGUGAAGCCUCAGGAGCUCCUGAGAUGAUGGAUGACAUCAAGAGCCAAAAGAACAUGUACAAAGCAUCUGCAGAAAGAGAUCCUUAAUGACUGUGUGAAGUCUGUUGAUUUGUUGCCAGGAAGUCUCUGGGACCAGCAGAGAACGUGGUGACAGUGUUUACAUACAUGUCCCUUACUAAUGAUGUCCAAAGGUGGCCAGAUUACCUCUGCAGAUGAGCUCCAGGUAUUACAUUUUAACAGUUCUUCCCCUGGUGCUGGAACUACGUGAUCAGCAGCUUGCUUUAUUGGUGGGAACAAGGAGGCUUCUUAUGUUGGAAAAUGAAACUUUUACCAGCAAAUCACCAGCAAAUGAACCCAAAAUACUGCUGUAACCAUUGUGUUUCAUCACUUCUUUGGUUUCUGAGUGCAGGAUGGGAGGCAGCACCCCCAGUGCUCACCUGGAUCCUGAUCAUUGAGAUAAUGUCGCACUGGAGAGAGCAGUGAGGAAUACAUUUGGGACCACUGGUGUUGGGCUCACUGUUCUUAAAGAGUUUUUUUUACUUUCAAUACAGAAGGAAAGUCUUUAUUUAUCCACAGCUGUUGUGUGCCUGCUCACAUGGAGCAGGCAGGCAGCAACACACAGGAUGGGGCCACCCCUUCUGGCCACUGGUCCUGUGUUUGUGGCAGCCCCAGGACAAUGGCAUCACAGUACAGCUCUGGAUCAAAAAUCUGAAUGGCACUUUUUCCAAAUUUGGAUUAGGGAAGCUGUGAUUUAGCAGUUGCUGAGUCUCAGAAAAUACUGUGUUCUGGCUCAGCCAAGGCUUGGAGCCUUUCUGCAUUCCAGGAUAAUUUGAUUUGAGAGUCCAAGGGCUGUCAAUCUCUCAGGUUUCAGAGAAACCCAGCACAUGAGCCAAACAGGUGAUCCUGGGGGAAGCCAUGCUGAUCCCAACCUGCCUGCUUUUGCUAAAGUCAGCGUCAGACCAGCUCUGCUGACUGUUUUGACAAAGUGCCAGACCCUGCCCUGAACAUCUGAGCUUUCCCAGGCUGAGCUCUCCCUUCAGUGUGGUUCAGUCUUAAGUACACCAACACACUUGAAGCCUUAGAGCAGAAAAGGUGUUGGAGAACCCCCAUCCCAGCCAGCACAUUCAGGAAAGGCAGCAGGCCUUGGAGGUACUCAGCAAAGUUCUGUCAAAUCACAUGAGCCAUUUAUUAUCUGUAUUUCAGCAACACCCACAGGCCUCAGGCAGCGACCUGCACUGUGCCUGUACAACAACAUCCAAAUAUAGAGCAAGACAUCAGCACAGCCACAAAGCUUCACUCACUCCGGAGCACUGCCCCCUUCCCUGCCCUGACAAAAGUCCCUCCAACCCCCAACUGGUGAGAAGCUGCUCUUGCUUUUACCAGAAAUAACAUAUUAUAAGGUGUUUGGUUUUCCUCAAUGUUUUUAGCAGUGUGACAGAUCCACCAGUUCUAGAAAGGCAGGAGGGAAAUCAUCUGCCAGAGCUGCUCAGGUUCCAGGCUUGAGGAAUAUUUAAGCAUAUGCUCAAACUCCCUUGCCUCUGGUUGAAGCAAAGCACGUGUUUAAACGCUUUGCUGAGCAGAGGUGGACUUAAGGACAUACCUUGCUGUAGGCAUGUGCUUAACUACUUUGUAAAAUUAAACUGAAGAUAAUCAAGUGCUUUUGCUGAAUCAGGCCCAAGUGCUCUGCAAACCCCCAUCCUCUUAAGCAAGGCAGCUUUCAGCAACAUUUAAUUUGAGAACACACUCAGAAAGUACCAUUAAAAAAAAAAUGUUAAAGAGCCAAGAGCCUUUAGAGAGUGGAAAUAAAUAACUAAAAAGAUAUCUAAGGAAAUCAUUAAACUGCACAAAUCAUCACUGGGCUUUAAAAAAAGAAACUUUGCCUUGUGCCAGUUCAGCAUUUGCACAUAGACAAGAGAUGCUUCAGCUGCAGGGACCUGAAUUGUGUCGGAAUUUCCCCCCAGCUCAUGCCACCAACGCUGCUACCAAGCCAGGCGGGCUCAGCCUCACACAUUUUCUCCUGAGCCCAGCCCCAAAGGAGGUUGUUUUGGAGACAGUGGGAGAAACCCUGCUGGCAGCAGACACACUGUGGGCCAGGCUGUGUGUGUGUCCCCAGGUGCUGAGGGUUCCAUCCAGGAGAAGUCCCUGAUAAAACAUUGCUGCUCUCAGCCACGAGCACCCCGUGUAUAAAUAGCCUCACAUUCCCUUUCUCCCUGACCUUCAUGUCUCAGCCCUGCCAAACCAGUUCUGUGCAAAUCCAAACUUAUCACAGUCACACCUCUGUCCCAGACAGGCAUCCCUGGGGGUUUUGGGCUUCCAUCCCAGCUUGGCAUGGUGGUGAUGUCCCCUACAUAGGGAACCAGCCCCUGCAAUGACAACAUGGCAGAGUUGUCCCCAGAUGACCACAGCUCAAUUGGAUUUGGCAUCAGUGCCUUUGGGAUGGCUUGCCAGGAGAUUUUUCAUUGAAAAAGGAGGGGUUUCAUGGAAAAGGUUGAUAAAGGGGUUUGCACAUUCUCAGAUGUCUUAAUACAAGCCAGCAAAGUUUGGGUGGAAAUGGAAUGGUAGGUAGAAAUUACGUUAGAAAUUAAAUGUAGCUGUGCUUUGCAAACCUUUUCCUUUCUUUAAGUGUGCCAUUUGAAUGCAAAUCUCACUGCAGAUAGAAUUGUUGAAGCUCAUAUAACAGAGAUCUGUCCUCUCCCCCUCCCCAGACUUUCAAGAGAUUUCCUGGUUAGACUUAGACUUGCAAAUCAUAGGCCAGACUGGCAGUGUUUCUAGUCAGCUUGGGUUGAUUUGGAGCUUGGGUACAUAAACUCAGUGACCUGAAACAAGAGGAAACAUUCCUGCCUUGGUCCCAACCUAAAGCUACUGACCUGGCCAUGGAGCAUUGGAUCAAACUCACCCUGAAUAUGCAUCCAGAGCAUCCCAAAAAACAGCCCCCUAGCCAAACACCUUCCUGAACACACACAGCCUAGCUGUUCAGCUAAUUUAAAAAUGCUUCCAAAAGUCAAUAUAUAGGAUACUGAAACAAACUAUGAAACUUCCCAUCAAAAAACCUCCUUUGCUUUCCCUUUUGUCCUUAGUACCAAAGCACUGUCCCGAAACCCCAGUGAGGACAAACUCAGCUGUCGAUGUGCCAUGGGCACCUCUGCAGUUCCCAGGAGGGGUAACUGUCACUGUUGGAAAUGCAGAGGUGCCCAUGAUGAAAAUAUUUCUUGGGAUGAGCUGGGAUUCCCUCUGAGAUCCCAAAUAACACAGGCAGUGUCACUGUUUAAAACGUUGCUACAAGUCUUUCCACUUUCUCCCCAUGCCCACUGCCAUUUGCACACAAGGACUAGCAAGAAUAGAUAAUACAGCAGAACAACAAACUUUUCCCUUCUUUUCUGCUGGAAUUAAUUUCCAAUGAAUUGGCAUUAUAAAUUUCUUGAUAGCAAAGCCUAAAAUAAAUAUGUCUUCAGUAUGGCCUCAGUGCAAUCUAAUAGCAUUGUAAAUCUAUCAAAAACCACAAAAACUGUCACUUGUAAUUUUCUGUGUUCACAGGAAAAAAAAUUAUAUAGUAAGAUAAACUGAACCAUUCUCUUUGAACUUUCCCUUUGUUUGAGUUAAGCACUCUGGAAGCCACCAAGUUAAUCACACUGCAAAACCCAUCAGGUUUGAAAGCUUAGAUAUAGAUUUUUUUUUAAUGAGCAAGUGUUCCUUGUGAUAACUUGAAUUAUACUUUCUGAAUGGUGGGAAAAUACACAAUUGUGUCACAUCCCUCCAAACUAAACACACUAUUCACAAAACACAAUUAAAAUUAAAAAAAAAAAUUCUUCUUUGCUUCUGUACUGGAGAACUUCAUUUGGGGAUUAUAAAUCCUUUUGAAAUGUUCUUUUUUAAUGAUGUCACUCCUAUUCAUGUUCCUUUUACAGCAUUUUCUGAAUUGUUUUCAGUGUUUGGGUCUGGUUAUUUGACUUGAAAAUGUAUUUUCCCCCUUCUAGAGUAACACUAGAUCUAAAACCCUUUCUGUUCUAAUGUUAUGAAGUAGGUGCAUUUGAGAUUGCAGCUUCUGAUGCAAUUAAUCAUCUUGUUUCAUUUCCAAGGAUAAAUGCUGCAGUAAAUAACUCCUUUCCAUGGACUGGCAAGUCUUGGGGGAGUUGCAGGUUUCUGCUCUCUAGUCCUGCCUGCACAAUCCAAGGCCCAGCACCACAAAACCAGCCUCACAUCCCCUGAGCUGUGCAGGAGGAGACCACAACAGUGAACAGCAAUGCCUGGUGAGCUACUGGACACACAGGAUCCCUGCUCCUCCUGAGAGGCUUCUAAAAAGAAAGGACUUGCAGGUCAAGGCUGCAGCCAAAAGGAGUAGCAGCACAUCCUAGAGGAGCAUCCCUUCUGCUUGGAUUCAGGCAAAACAGUGAGAUAAGGAGUUCAUCUGUAAUCAAUGAUCCCAAGGCUACACAAUUACAUCAUAAUUAGAGAAAUAAUUAUUCCCAUUUAGGUAGGAAGAGGGAGGAAAGAGUGUUAGCAAGCCCACAUAUACACAAAUUUACCUUAGCCUAAGUAAUGAGUAUUUUCAAACCAAAUUUAGUUAAACUGCCUUUGUUUUUGUUGGAUGAUGCUUCUGUAUCGACUUGGCUUUAUCUUUAAUCAUUUCUGCAUUGAGUAGAGCUUCUACACAAGAAAAGCCAGUGGAACAAGCUGUGACACCAAGGUAUUUUCUUCACCUUAAUUAAGGGCUUUCAAACCUCCCCCUUGUGCAAGCCCUGCUCUUGCAUUUGCUGCAGUUGACCCUGUCUGAUCAUCUGCAGCUUGUUAGAGGUGAUAACCUGAGUAUCCAGGCACUCUGAUAGCACUAGAUCAAGAUACUAUAAAGAUCAAUAAGAAUAAGCAAUUGUAGCAACUCUGAUCCCAGUGCAGAUCAGGUCAGCAGAUGUGCUCUGCUCCUAGAUGUAUAUAAUAGACACUGCUUUAGAAAGAUGUGCAUUGUCUGACACAAACAGCAGCCACACUCUGUCCCUUCACCUUUCCUGCUGAAUUAGCUUUGCCAUCAUUUCUGAAUUGCAAACAUGUUCCAGCAAUUAACAUCUUCAGUAUACAACAAAUCAAAUCUACACUAGAUGAAAAUAUUUAUAGUCACAUUAAUUGGAAAGAUCUCUGAAUUUUUAUAAGAAUGCUCUAACAGAGCUGUUUGUGUGAGGUUAUUGUUAUCCCCAGGGAAUAUUCCCCUGAUGCUCGAGGAUGCUCUUAGGUAUUUAGCCACUUUUGGGUGAUGUUUAUUUUGUGCAAGUCACAGCCUCAGUUCCAGACCAUGAGCUGUACAAUGAUGUAUUUAGAUCCAUCUCUAGCAACUGCAUGAGACCUAAAAUAUUCUUUUUCUUCUUUCCUAACUGCUCAACUCUUUGUAACAUCAUCAAUCACAGAACCUUCUUUCCCCAUGCUUGCACAGGGCUAUGCAGGUGGGGACUGCAUCGUCUCUAUUGUACAAAACAAAAGAAGAUUUUCUGCAAUUUUUGAGUUUUCAUGGGAGCCAGUGGGAGUUAAACAUCCAGCUUGAAAAAUGUAUUUGAACUCAGGCAGGUCUGGCAGAUCUUCAAUUGGAUCCUGACCUACUCACAGAUAUUUUUUUCUGCCUAGUCUCACAUGCAACCAUAUUUUCUAGGUACACUUAUCUACCUGUCACAUACAACAAUGUACAGCCCUGAAGAAAACAAAGCAGGUGAUUAUCUUUCCCCAGUCAAAUGCAGUGGAAAGGUCAGAUUUAAUUUGAAGCUGAGGGGCAAUGAAAUGAUAGAGAAAAUGUACAAAAAUAGAGUGUAGCUGUUCUGGGAGGGAAGCGAGUCUGCUCAUCCCUGUGGAACAGCCAGCAGCACAGACACACCAUUCAUCCCUUCUCUUUAUUGCUCCCUGGUCUUUGAUUUGGGACUUGGCUCCAUUAUCAUGGAAGAUACAUUUUUGGGAAGAUGUGAAUUGGGCAGGUGAAUCAUUUCCUUCUGCAUGGCCUUCAGCCAGAGCCACUGACACUGAGCACCCACCAGCUCCUGGAGUAUCCCCAAGGAAAUUGGAUUGUUCCAGGCUUUUAAGAUGGAGAAGAUAUUUUUCCUCAAUCCCACCCUUCCAAUGGCUGGCAAGGUGCUACAUGUUAUAUACACAGUCUUGCAGUUACUUAUUUUAAUCUUGGUAAUGCCCUUGAGCAUUGCUGGACUCCUACAAAAUCAGCACCUAAAUGGAAAUAAAUUCACAAUGCUGCAGCUCCCUGCAUUCAGAGCAAUUCAGUAUGUCCCAUGUCCUAAAUGCAACUGGGUGUUUCACAACCUCUGUAUUUAAAUUAGGUUUUUCCAUGCACAUUUUUUCCCUCUUAGUCCUGCCUAAAACCCAGAGCAAAUUUCAAGGAGAAAUUUUUCUUGGACCACUCACUAGGGCUUGACACAUCCAAAGCACUUAGACUGAAGACCAGCUGCAGAAAACAGAAGUUUCACAGUUUCAUUGUUGAAAACAAGCUCCUGCUUUUACUCUUCCUGGUAAUUUUGAGCUCAGGAUUCCAAGUGCCCUUCUGCACUCAGAAGACCUGUUUGGAUGGAUGAAUGCCUUGAAGGUUAUGGGUAAGAGCUCAAACCUGGAAGUGGUUAUUCUCAAAGCUGAGAAAGGAAAAUUCCCAAAGGUCUCUAUGAUAAGUUGAUAAGAAAUAAUGGAGACUUGUUUCAUUUAAACACAAAGAACAAUUCAGCCAUAUCAUGGCUUAUGGUAGAGACAUUAAAAGUUAGACAGAGACAUUGAAAGUUAUCAGAUGAAUGUCUGCAUGCUUUAUCUUUUUAAUAAUGCAGAGAAAUGUAACAGUUUUCUGUCCAUGAUGAAGCCUGGGAUUCCUGGAAGGGUACCCUGCCUUGCUGCUUCUUCAUGUUCCCCAUGUCUGCCUCUGCCUUUCAAAUGAGUGCCACCAAUCCCAGUCUAAUGGCAAUGUUUUAAAUAACUACUUCUUUCCUAGGAAGUCAAAAAAAGCCCACUUAAAAGUGAACUCUGUGCAUGUGCCAAAUAUUUAGAGAGUAAAUCUCAAACCCAGGAGUGAUCUGCUUCCUUCAUCUGCAGACCCUGGAUGUGAUGCAGAUACCGUCACUCCCAGCAUCUAUUGCAGGCCAGUGGUGUGAGCUCAUGAGGGGAACUAAAAAAAUUAUAUCUAGAAUGAAAAAUAGAUCCAGAAAACACCACCAAUAGCUAAUUCUGGCCAGCUAAAAAAUCAGUAUAUCAUCUAAACUAGUCACCUAGACCUUUCCUGUUGGAAGUUUGCUUUCCUCACAAGGUCCCUUUGAGACACCCCCUCCAUCUGAAAUAUAGCACCACUGACUGAAGGACUGGUUUCAAACCUCUUUAGGACCCAUAUGAAGAGUCUAUACCCCACAGCAAGUUUGGCAAUCAGCACUUUAAAAAAUAAACUCAGCUCCGGAAUGAUGAUUUGCAUAGUGCAUGGUGACUAAAAUUAGCCUGCCUCAACUCCAUCUCAGGAGGAAGUCUGAGUUGCUGCUGCAGUUUCAGGUUUCUUGGCUUUCAGAAAAAUUCAUAGCAUCUGAGGAACACAGAUGUGUCUUCUGUGCAGCCCUGCUCCUCUUGGCUGGCACUUCUCUCCCAAGCUGCAUCUCAAAGCUGUCCUACGGCACCAGCAAACCUUGUCCUUCCUCUCAUAGGAAACCAGAAUGUGCUGAAACCUCUGAAAGCCUUUAUUCAGUAUGAAGGUGUUUGGGAGAUUAAUUAGUAAAGAGAGAAUGCACUGCAGGUCACAAAUGGUCUGUCCUGGGUGUAGGAAGGGUAAAACCUCCUUGAGAGCUAUUUACCACAAGACAGAGGUUUCUCCAAGCAGAGGUGUGCUGGAAGGUGCUCUGCAGGAGACAUUCACCAUGUAAAGUUGGGUUAGGACUUGUAGUUUAACCUUCAUUAGCUGCUGGAUGGAGGUGAGGUCUCCAACUUGAUUCUCAGCUAUUGCCCCAUAAUAUCAGUGCAUAAGAGCUUGUGUUUCUCUGUCAUAAUUUAAUAUUGUGAUUUGGCUAACCAGAGAGUCACACACUCCCUUGGUCUCAUUUUAUACUGCAGAUGAACAGAUCCAUAGGAGGUCAUGCUAGUCUACCACAGAUGUCCCUAUUGAGCUUAAAUUAUUCAAAAAGUCAGUCAUCAGCUAAGUGCUAAACGGUUGCAGCUUUUUUGGGUUGGCUUUUUUGGGUUUUUUUCAGCUUGAGAUGUGGCUAUAGCUUUUCUCCCCAAGAUGCAUAAAUAACUCAUGCAGUUAUGAAGCAGGAUCACUCAGGACCCGUGUGAAGAGUGCUGCUGGCUCAGAUCCCACAUCACCCACUGAACAAAUCCAGCUCAGCUCCCUUCCUUCAUCCACCCUCCACCCCAGGUCAGGCCAUGAGCCCUCAGGUCACAUUUCACAGUUUUGGUUCCUCUAUCCCUGCAAGGUCCCAGGCACCUUUGAAUCCAAGAUCACAAGUACCAGAGUUUUGUAGCUUAAUAUUUGUAGUAAAUCUGUACAAAAUUAACUUGCUGUAGCAACAAUCCAGUCAAGUACUUGUUUUAAUAUUUUAUAUGAACACAGGCCAGCAGCUAAUUUAAUUUUCUGCUGUGUUGUAGAAUUGAAAGGUGAUGAUUCACCCUUAAAAAUACAUUUUAAAUUUAGUAAUGACUCUGUCUACAGUAUAUAUCUUAUGGAGGGAGCCCAGAGUAAAAGCUCAGUGAUGUGCAGAAUCCUGGCUAGAUACAAUCAGGAAGAGAGCAGUCCUGUGACAUGAAAUGCAAUGAUACACUGAACUUCUGACCUGUAGGAGAAAUCUGAUCCCACCUUCUUCUUCAUUUCAGCUGUGUUCAGAAAAACAAAAGUCUUCAUUCAGCAUUCAAUUUUCUUCACCCUUCACCACUGGAAUUUUUAUAUGAGCUGAAUUAAAUAUGCCAGACUUCAAAGGUAAAUGUCCUCAGUGGCUCAGUGAUAUCCAUGGUGUCUUUCUGAUAACCAUUGUCAUUAAGCCUCAUUCUGUUCUGAUGAGGCCCUGCAGGAAAGUGAGGUGCUCCUGUGUCCAGCUUCACUGCUUAAGCAGAAUAAAACACUGACUGUAAUA